CUGGGUUACUUACCUGGAAAAAUAGGUUAUGUUUGAAUAGGAAGAGCCCCAUGGGAUAUCACCAUCUGUUACUUCCUCCAGGUUCAUUUAGGGUAGCUCAGCUAAUUUUUUAAAUUUUUAUCUUGCAUAUCUGCCCUGGGUGAGUACUGACCUGCUAUGCUGGCAGCUGAGCCUGCUGCUUUUUUGUUCCUUCAAGCUGUCAUGAACUUCAUCUGGAGAGCCGAAUGCAGCUAUAUUGAAAUAAGAGGACAAAGGCUUUCUCAACACAGCAUGCAAACCUGGGCCAAAAAGCACCAAGUUUUUUAUUCACAGGAAUCAGAUUUGUGGAUCUGGAUUAGUUCUGGAACAGAGAUACAAUCCUGGAACCUCAAUACAGAUCAACAUCUGUUGCUAGUGACAUUGAAGCUCAUGUUGCGUAUUGGCUGGUGAAAGAGAACAAAGCGAAGUGUCUGCUCUACGUUCUGGAUCCUGUCCAUCUUGCUUCACCAUAUGGAGUGAUAAUGGG
Molecule: long non-coding RNA, 505 nt
Organism: Gallus gallus (chicken)
Lineage: Eukaryota; Metazoa; Chordata; Aves; Galliformes; Phasianidae
Source: Ensembl